Molecule: ribosomal RNA, 496 nt
Filed under: uncultured bacterium
Lineage: Bacteria
Description: partial 16S ribosomal RNA
Rfam family: Bacterial small subunit ribosomal RNA
Source: RNAcentral
ACGAACGCUGGCGGCGUGCCUAAUACAUGCAAGUUGAGCGCUGAAGGUUGGUACUUGUACCCACUGGAUGAGCAGCGAACGGGUGAGUAACGCGUGGGGAAUCUGCCUUUGAGCGGGGGACAACAUUUGGAAACGAAUGCUAAUACCGCAUAAAAACUUUAAACACAAGUUUUAAGUUUGAAAGAUGCAAUUGCAUCACUCAAAGAUGAUCCCGCGUUGUAUUAGCUAGUUGGUGAGGUAAAGGCUCACCAAGGCGAUGAUACAUAGCCGACCUGAGAGGGUGGUCGGCCACAUUGGGACUGAGACACGGCCCAAACUCCUACGGGAGGCAGCAGUAGGGAAUCUUCGGCAAUGGACGAAAGUCUGACCGAGCAACGCCGCGUGAGUGAAGAAGGUUUUCGGAUCGUAAAACUCUGUUGGUAGAGAAGAACGUUGGUGAGAGUGGAAAGCUCAUCAAGUGACGGUAACUACCCAGAAAGGGACGGCUAACUACGUG